This 331-nucleotide ribosomal RNA is filed under the name uncultured bacterium. RNAcentral's name for it is "partial 16S ribosomal RNA". It matches the Rfam family "Bacterial small subunit ribosomal RNA", at positions 338 to 685 of the family's 1533-position model. The record is from RNAcentral.
CCUACGAGUGGCAGCAGUGGGGAAUAUUGCACAAUGGGGGAAACCCUGAUGCAGCAACGCCGCGUGAAGGAAGACGGUUCUCGGAUUGUAAAACUCUGUUUUUACUGAAGUAUAAUGACGGUAGCUAAGGCGCCAGCCACGGCUAACUACGUGCCAGCAGCCGCGGUCCUACGUAGGUGGCAAGCGUUGUCCGGAAUUACUGGGUGUAAAGGGAGCGCAGGCGGGUAGCGAAGUCAGCUGUGAAAACUACGGGCUUAACUUGUAGACGGCAGUUGAAACGGGUUUUCUGGAGGGAAGUAGUGUAUGGCGGAAUUCCGGGGGUAGCGGGGAA